AUGAUUUACAGAAAGUGGAGCCACUCCAGCUGGAUGGAAAUUUGUGGACUGGCAUCAGGUCCUGCAGGAUCGGGGUUCUUUUUUUUUUUUCUUGUCUCUUCCCCAGCUCCCUGGCCUUUCUUCUGUCACUCUUCUUGCCAAGUCAGAACUAAGUUCUUCAGGAGAGGUGUUGUCUCCUCUGAUGGGUUCUGCGUGCUGCCACUACCAACCGAAGAGGUCAGGGUCUUCCAGUCUUCCCACAAUGUGUCCAAAUGCCUAUGCAACGGAAAGCAGAAGCUCCAGAAGCAGAACAAUUUCAUCAGCACCUUGCUGCACACACACAAAUGAUCUCUGUUUGGAUGCAGAUGUGGUGGCACUCUGUCUGUGCUUCCCUUCAGCUGAGCUGGCACCUCUGCAGAUCCCGGCUAUGCAGCAUGUGACAGUCUGUGCUCUGUUAGCUUCAGCUCAGCAGGGUCCUGCCCUGCUGUGCCAUGCACUACAGGUAGCGUGUCCAGCAUGA
Molecule: long non-coding RNA, 499 nt
Filed under: Anser cygnoides (Swan goose)
Lineage: Eukaryota; Metazoa; Chordata; Aves; Anseriformes; Anatidae
Description: lncRNA (ENSACDG00005010636.1)
Source: RNAcentral